CCAAUAGCGUAUAUUAAAGUUGCUGCAGUUAAAAAGCUCGUAGUUGAAUUUCGGGACCAAUAUGUCGGUCGUGCUUUUGUACGUACUGAUAUAAUUGGUUUCUCCCUUCUGAAGAACCUUGAUGUCAUUAAUUUGGUGUCUUGGGGAAUCAGGACUGUUACUUUGAAAAAAUUAGAGUGUUUAAAGCAGGCUCGCGCUGGAAUACAUUAGCAUGGAAUAAUGAAAUAGGACGUUUGAUUCUAUUUUGUUGGUUUCUAGGAUCGACGUAAUGAUUAAUAGGGAUAGUUGGGGGCAUUAGUAUUCAAUUGUCAGAGGUGAAAUUCUUGGAUGUAUUGAAGACUAACUACUGCGAAAGCAUUUGCCAAGGAUGUUUUCAUUAAUCAAGAACGAAAGUUAGGGGAUCGAAGACGAUCAGAUACCGUCGUAGUCUUAACCAUAAACUAUGCCGACUAGGGAUCGGAUGAUGUUAAUUUUUUAAUGACUCAUUCGGCGCCUUACG
Molecule: unclassified non-coding RNA, 499 nt
Filed under: uncultured Glomus
Lineage: Eukaryota; Fungi; Glomeromycota; Glomeromycetes; Glomerales; Glomeraceae
Description: SSU rRNA
Rfam family: Eukaryotic small subunit ribosomal RNA
Source: RNAcentral